Molecule: ribosomal RNA, 254 nt
Filed under: uncultured bacterium
Lineage: Bacteria
Description: partial 16S ribosomal RNA
Rfam family: Bacterial small subunit ribosomal RNA
Source: RNAcentral
UACGGGGGGAGCAAGCGUUGUUCGGAUUUACUGGGCGUAAAGGGCGCGUAGGCGGCCACCGCAAGUCGACUGUGAAAUCUCCGGGCUUAACCCGGAAAGGUCAGCCGAUACUGCGGGGCUAGAGUGCAGAAGGGGCAACUGGAAUUCUCGGUGUAGCGGUGAAAUGCGUAGAUAUCGAGAGGAACACCUGCGGCGAAGGCGGGUUGCUGGGCUGACACUGACGCUGAGGCGCGAAAGCGUGGGGAGCAAACAGG